Molecule: ribosomal RNA, 253 nt
Filed under: uncultured bacterium
Lineage: Bacteria
Description: partial 16S ribosomal RNA
Rfam family: Bacterial small subunit ribosomal RNA
Source: RNAcentral
UACGGAGGGGACUAGCGUUGUUCGGAAUUACUGGGCGUAAAGCGCACGUAGGCGGAUUUGUAAGUCAGGGGUGAAAUCCCGGGGCUCAACCUCGGAACUGCCUUUGAUACUGAGAGUCUCGAGUCCGGGAGAGGUGAGUGGAACUGCGAGUGUAGAGGUGAAAUUCGUAGAUAUUCGCAAGAACACCAGUGGCGAAGGCGGCUCACUGGCCCGGUACUGACGCUGAGGUGCGAAAGCGUGGGGAGCAAACAGG